GUCGAGGGGCAUCAUGAGGUAGCAAUACCUUGAUGGCGACCGGCGCACGGGUGAGUAACGCGUAUGCAACCUGCCUGAUACCGGGGUAUAGCCCAUGGAAACGUGGAUUAACACCCCAUAGUACUUUUUAUCCUGCAUGGGAUGUGAGUUAAAUGUUUAAGGUAUCGGAUGGGCAUACGUCCUAUUAGUUAGUUGGCGGGGUAACAGCCCACCAAGACGAUGAUAGGUAGGGGUUCUGAGAGGAAGGUCCCUCACAUUGGAACUGAGACACGGUCCAAACUCCUACGGGAGGCAGCAGUGAGGAAUAUUGGUCAAUGGACGAGAGUCUGAACCAGCCAAGUCGCGUGAGGGAAGACUGCCCUAUGGGUUGUAAACCUCUUUUAUAAGGGAAGAAUAAGUUCUACGUGUAGAAUGAUGCCUGUACCUUAUGAAUAAGCAUCGGCUAACUCCGUGCCAGCAGCCGCGGUAAUACGGAGGAUGCGAGCGUUAUCCGGAUUUAUUGGGUUUAAAGGGUGCGUAGGCGGUUUAUUAAGUUAGUGGUUAAAUAUUUGAGCUAAACUCAAUUGUGCCAUUAAUACUGGUAAACUGGAGUACAGACGAGGUAGGCGGAAUAAGUUAAGUAGCGGUGAAAUGCAUMGAUAUAACUUAGAACUCCGAUAGCGAAGGCAGCUUACCAGACUGUAACUGACGCUGAUGCACGAGAGCGUGGGUAGCGAACAGGAUUAGAUACCCUGGUAGUCCACGCCGUAAACGAUGCUCACUGGUUCUAUGCGAUAUAUUGUACGGGAUUAAGCGAAAGUAUUAAGUGAGCCACCUGGGGAGUACGUCUGCAACGAUGAAACUCAAAGGAAUUGACUGGGGCCCGCACAAGCGGAGG
Molecule: ribosomal RNA, 877 nt
Filed under: uncultured Bacteroidota bacterium
Lineage: Bacteria; Pseudomonadati; Bacteroidota
Description: bacterial SSU rRNA
Rfam family: Bacterial small subunit ribosomal RNA
Source: RNAcentral